This 466-nucleotide ribosomal RNA is filed under the name uncultured bacterium. Its description in RNAcentral is "partial 16S ribosomal RNA". It matches the Rfam family "Bacterial small subunit ribosomal RNA", at positions 28 to 507 of the family's 1533-position model. The record is from RNAcentral.
GAUGAACGCUGGCGGCGUGCUUAACACAUGCAAGUCGAACGGAAAGGCCCAAGCUUGCUUGGGUACUCGAGUGGCGAACGGGUGAGUAACACGUGGGUGAUCUGCCCUGCACUUCGGGAUAAGCCUGGGAAACUGGGUCUAAUACCGGAUAGGACCACAUGCUGGAUGGUGGGGUGGAAAGUUUUUCGGUGUGGGAUGAGGCCGCGGCCUAUCAGCUUGUUGGUGGGGUAAUGGCCUACCAAGGCGUCGACGGGGAGCCGGCCCGAGUGGGGGGACGGCCACAGUGGGACUGGGAUUGGGCCCAGACCCCUACGGGAGGGAGCAGUGGGGGAGAUUGACAAAGGGGCGGGAGCCUGAUGCCGCGACGGCGCGGGGGGGAUGACGGUCUUCGGGUUGGAAACGCCUUUCGCUAGGGCCGAAGCGGUAUGUGACGGUACCUGGAGAAGAAGCACCGGCUAACUACGUG